AAAUCUGGCACCUUCGGUGUCCGAGUUGUAAUUUGAAGAUUGUAACCUUGGGGUUGGCUCUUGUCUAUGUUUCUUGGAACAGGACGUCACAGAGGGUGAGAAUCCCGUGCGAUGAGAUGCCCAAUCCUAUGUAAGGUGCUUUCGAAGAGUCGAGUUGUUUGGGAAUGCAGCUCUAAGUGGGUGGUAAAUUCCAUCUAAAGCUAAAUAUUGGCGAGAGACCGAUAGCGAACAAGUACAGUGAUGGAAAGAUGAAAAGAACUUUGAAAAGAGAGUGAAAAAGUACGUGAAAUUGUUGAAAGGGAAGGGUUUGAGAUCAGACUCGAUAUUUUGUGAGCCUUGCCUUCGUGGCGGGGUGACCCGCAGCUUAUCGGGCCAGCAUCGGUUUGGGCGGUAGGAUAAUGGCGUAGGAAUGUGACUUUGCUUCGGUGAAGUGUUAUAGCCUGCGUUGAUGCUGCCUGCCUAGACCGAGGACUGCGAUUUUAUCAAGGAUGCUGGCAUAAUGAUCCCAAACCGCCCG
RNAcentral lists this ribosomal RNA (517 nucleotides) under Meyerozyma caribbica. RNAcentral describes it as "partial 28S ribosomal RNA". It matches the Rfam family "Eukaryotic large subunit ribosomal RNA", at positions 118 to 651 of the family's 3401-position model. Lineage: Eukaryota; Fungi; Ascomycota; Pichiomycetes; Serinales; Debaryomycetaceae. The record is from RNAcentral.